AGAGUUUGAUCAUGGCUCAGGAUGAACGCUGGCGGCGUGCUUAACACAUGCAAGUCGAACGAAGCACCUUGAUUUGAUUCUUCGGAUGAAGAUCUUGGUGACUGAGUGGCGGACGGGUGAGUAACGCGUGGGUAACCUGCCUCAUACAGGGGGAUAACAGUUAGAAAUGACUGCUAAUACCGCAUAAGACCACAGCACCGCAUGGUGCAGGGGUAAAAACUCCGGUGGUAUGAGAUGGACCCGCGUCUGAUUAGGUAGUUGGUGGGGUAACGGCCUACCAAGCCGACGAUCAGUAGCCGACCUGAGAGGGUGACCGGCCACAUUGGGACUGAGACACGGCCCAAACUCCUACGGGAGGCAGCAGUGGGGAAUAUUGCACAAUGGGGGAAACCCUGAUGCAGCGACGCCGCGUGAGCGAUGAAGUAUUUCGGUAUGUAAAGCUCUAUCAGCAGGGAAGAAAAUGACGGUACCUGACUAAGAAGCACCGGCUAAAUACGUGCCAGCAGCCGCGGUAAUACGUAUGGUGCAAGCGUUAUCCGGAUUUACUGGGUGUAAAGGGAGCGUAGACGGAGUGGCAAGUCUGAUGUGAAAACCCGGGGCUCAACCCCGGGACUGCAUUGGAAACUGUCAAUCUAGAGUACCGGAGAGGUAAGCGGAAUUCCUAGUGUAGCGGUGAAAUGCGUAGAUAUUAGGAGGAACACCAGUGGCGAAGGCGGCUUACUGGACGGUAACUGACGUUGAGGCUCGAAAGCGUGGGGAGCAAACAGGAUUAGAUACCCUGGUAGUCCACGCCGUAAACGACGACUACUAGGUGUCGGGCAGCAAAGCUGUUCGGUGCCGCAGCAAACGCAAUAAGUAUUCCACCUGGGGAGUACGACCGCAAGGUUGAAACUCAAAGGAAUUGACGGGGGCCCGCACAAGCAGUGGAUUAUGUGGUUUAAUUCGACGCAACGCGAAGAACCUUACCAGGACUUGACAUCCAACUAACAAAGUAGAGAUACAUCAGGUGCCCUUCGGGGAAAGUUGAGACAGGUGGUGCAUGGUUGUCGUCAGCUCGUGUCGUGAGAUGUUGGGUUAAGUCCCGCAACGAGCGCAACCCCUAUUGUUAGUUGCUACGAAAGAGCACUCUAGCGAGACUGCCGUUGACAAAACGGAGGAAGGCGGGGACGACGUCAAAUCAUCAUGCCCCUUAUGUCCUGGGCUACACACGUAAUACAAUGGUGGCCAACAGAGGGAAGCGAAGCCGUGAGGCGGAGCAAAUCCCUAAAAGCCAUCUCAGUUCGGAUUGCAGGCUGCAACUCGCCUGCAUGAAGCUGGAAUUGCUAGUAAUCGCGGAUCAGCAUGCCGCGGUGAAUACGUUCCCGGGCCUUGUACACACCGCCCGUCACACCAUGAGAGUCGGGAACACCCGAAGUCCGUAGUCUAACCGCAAGGGGGGCGCGGCCGAAGGUGGGUCCGGUAAUUGGGGUGAAGUCGUAACAAGGUA
RNAcentral lists this ribosomal RNA (1486 nucleotides) under metagenome. RNAcentral describes it as "bacterial SSU rRNA". It matches the Rfam family "Bacterial small subunit ribosomal RNA". The record is from RNAcentral.